GAAGGAUGACCCAGUGCACCAUGCUGCAAGGGGAGAACCCUAUGCUCAUCUGCUGCCUGACUUGCCUCUGCAUGUGCUUUGGAGCUGCCAGAAGCUGCAGUAUUUGAGUUUAGAAAAUUGACAGAGCUCUGAAGAAUUCUGUGAUUUUAAGCAGAAAGUAUACCCCAGUGCUGUCAAGAAUUUUCUUUGAAGAAAUCUGAUAUAUUUCUUCAUAUCUUGUCGCUGUUCAA
Molecule: non-coding RNA, 230 nt
Organism: Pogona vitticeps (central bearded dragon)
Lineage: Eukaryota; Metazoa; Chordata; Lepidosauria; Squamata; Agamidae
Source: RefSeq, a predicted model, not a curated record